AAAAGAAUAAAGUGAAACACAUUUCAGAUUCAUGGCACAGAAAAAAAUUGAGAAUUUGAAUGAUAUAACCAAGAGCAGCUGAAAAAACUUCAAACACACGGCUGCUGGUUAAUAACAUCUUGGGAGCUUAGCAGGAUGAAACAUGUCACAAGGUCACACUUGAGAGAAGAAAAUAAGUAAAAACCUUAGGCAAGUCUGUAUAAGGUGUAAGCUUUUCAAAAUCUACUGCAUCAAAUGUCCGUUUUUUCCCAGCAUUCUGAUCAGUAGGACGGUCUUGACUGGAUUGCUCACAAUCAUCCUGUUUAUGGGCAGAGGUCUUCUCUUUACCCCAUUUCUGGUCCUUGCUGAUAGUACCAUUCCACUGAACAGUAGGACGGUCUUGACUGGAUUGCUCAUGGUCAUGUUUAUGGGCUGAGGUCUUCUCUUUACCCCAUUUCUGGUCCUUGCUGAUAGUACCAUUCCGCUGAACAGUAGGACGGUCUUGACUGGAUUGCUCAUGGUCAUCCUGUUUAUGGGAUGAGGUCCACCCUUUACCCCAUAUCUGGUCCUUCUUCUUGCUGGCAGUACCACUCCACUGAACAGUACGACCAUCUUGGCUGGAUUGCUCAUAGUCAUUCUGUUUAUGGGAUGAGGUCCUCUCUUUACCCCAUUUUGGGUCCUUCUUGCUGACAGUACCCCUCCACUGAGCAGCAUGACCGUCUUGGCUGGAUGGUUCAUAGUCGUCCUGUUUAUGGGAUGAGGUUCUCUCUUUACCCCAUUUCUGACCCUUCUUCUUGCUGGUAGUACCAUUCCACUGAAAUGUGUCCUGAAACAUCCAUAUAACAUGUGCACAUCAACAAGUAGCAUUAGCAUACCUUCUGAAACUCAAAAACCACAGAGACAAAUCCUUGCCUUCUGUGAGGUUUGGACCUUAUGGCCAAACAGACAUGGAAUUACUUUGUGCGGUAAAUUUCUUGAGUAAAUAAUGAACAAGGUCAGUUGAACUAUUUGAACUAUUCUGGGCCCUUCGGUUAGAAUUAAGAUAUGGAUUACAUGAGCUGUUUUAAAGGAACCAAAUCAAAUAAGUGCUAAAAUAAUGAUGUUAAGCAAAAGUUUGAUUCUUUCUCUUAGAAUUUGGGUUGGGCCUAACUCAACCUUACAAGACCGGUUUGUAAGGCGAGAGCUUCCCAAUCUUUAUAUGCACUACAAAGGCCAUAUCUCUAGGCAAUGCGGGACUAAACCCACGCCUUCACACCCAACACAAUGAAGGUGUAUGUUGGAGGCUGCAGUGAAGGCAACCCAAAUGCCGCAAUUAGGCGGCUAGAGGGAGACCACAAUGAAGGUGAACUACCAGCACUUUGCAAGGUAUCCGCCAAGAAUUGUCCUAAAGAACUUUAGCUACCCCCCUGACUCUCCCCAUUUACCCAUAACAAACCUAGAAAACGAACUAUGAGUUUGGAAAUUUAGUACUAUGAUAUUUCAAGUCACUCAAGACAGGUACAUUCUAUAUCCUCCAUCAAGCUACAGUCUAAAAUCCAAUUAAAUAAAAAAAACAAAAGAUCAGAUGCAAACAUGCUAAUGUUCG
RNAcentral lists this long non-coding RNA (1564 nucleotides) under Medicago truncatula (barrel medic). RNAcentral describes it as "long non-coding RNA (MTRU_LNC000998)". Lineage: Eukaryota; Viridiplantae; Streptophyta; Magnoliopsida; Fabales; Fabaceae. The record is from RNAcentral.